RNAcentral lists this ribosomal RNA (267 nucleotides) under Chilostoma phocaea. RNAcentral describes it as "partial 16S ribosomal RNA". It matches the Rfam family "Archaeal large subunit ribosomal RNA", at positions 2021 to 2588 of the family's 2987-position model. Lineage: Eukaryota; Metazoa; Mollusca; Gastropoda; Stylommatophora; Helicidae. The record is from RNAcentral.
GACUGUGCAAAGGUAGCAUAAUCAGUUGGCUUAUAAUUGAGGUCUGGGAUGAAUGAACCUACGGGGUUCUACUGUCUUUAUGAUAAUAAGGUGAAUUUAGUGAUCAAGUGCAAAUACCUGAUAGUAUUGAAUAGACGAGAAGACCCUAGAAACUUUUAAAUAUGUUUUGCUGGGGCGGCAAAGUUGCACUUAACCAACUUAUUUAACAAGCAGCACGGCUGUAAGACCAAGUUACUCUAGGGAUAACAGCAUAAUUAAAUUUAGUUU